Molecule: ribosomal RNA, 2925 nt
Filed under: Escherichia coli
Lineage: Bacteria; Pseudomonadati; Pseudomonadota; Gammaproteobacteria; Enterobacterales; Enterobacteriaceae
Description: 23S ribosomal RNA
Rfam family: Bacterial large subunit ribosomal RNA
Source: RNAcentral
GGGUUGUGAGGUUAAGCGACUAAGCGUACACGGUGGAUGCCCUGGCAGUCAGAGGCGAUGAAGGACGUGCUAAUCUGCGAUAAGCGUCGGUAAGGUGAUAUGAACCGUUAUAACCGGCGAUUUCCGAAUGGGGAAACCCAGUGUGUUUCGACACACUAUCAUUAACUGAAUCCAUAGGUUAAUGAGGCGAACCGGGGGAACUGAAACAUCUAAGUACCCCGAGGAAAAGAAAUCAACCGAGAUUCCCCCAGUAGCGGCGAGCGAACGGGGAGCAGCCCAGAGCCUGAAUCAGUGUGUGUGUUAGUGGAAGCGUCUGGAAAGGCGCGCGAUACAGGGUGACAGCCCCGUACACAAAAAUGCACAUGCUGUGAGCUCGAUGAGUAGGGCGGGACACGUGGUAUCCUGUCUGAAUAUGGGGGGACCAUCCUCCAAGGCUAAAUACUCCUGACUGACCGAUAGUGAACCAGUACCGUGAGGGAAAGGCGAAAAGAACCCCGGCGAGGGGAGUGAAAAAGAACCUGAAACCGUGUACGUACAAGCAGUGGGAGCACGCUUAGGCGUGUGACUGCGUACCUUUUGUAUAAUGGGUCAGCGACUUAUAUUCUGUAGCAAGGUUAACCGAAUAGGGGAGCCGAAGGGAAACCGAGUCUUAACUGGGCGUUAAGUUGCAGGGUAUAGACCCGAAACCCGGUGAUCUAGCCAUGGGCAGGUUGAAGGUUGGGUAACACUAACUGGAGGACCGAACCGACUAAUGUUGAAAAAUUAGCGGAUGACUUGUGGCUGGGGGUGAAAGGCCAAUCAAACCGGGAGAUAGCUGGUUCUCCCCGAAAGCUAUUUAGGUAGCGCCUCGUGAAUUCAUCUCCGGGGGUAGAGCACUGUUUCGGCAAGGGGGUCAUCCCGACUUACCAACCCGAUGCAAACUGCGAAUACCGGAGAAUGUUAUCACGGGAGACACACGGCGGGUGCUAACGUCCGUCGUGAAGAGGGAAACAACCCAGACCGCCAGCUAAGGUCCCAAAGUCAUGGUUAAGUGGGAAACGAUGUGGGAAGGCCCAGACAGCCAGGAUGUUGGCUUAGAAGCAGCCAUCAUUUAAAGAAAGCGUAAUAGCUCACUGGUCGAGUCGGCCUGCGCGGAAGAUGUAACGGGGCUAAACCAUGCACCGAAGCUGCGGCAGCGACGCUUAUGCGUUGUUGGGUAGGGGAGCGUUCUGUAAGCCUGUGAAGGUGUGCUGUGAGGCAUGCUGGAGGUAUCAGAAGUGCGAAUGCUGACAUAAGUAACGAUAAAGCGGGUGAAAAGCCCGCUCGCCGGAAGACCAAGGGUUCCUGUCCAACGUUAAUCGGGGCAGGGUGAGUCGACCCCUAAGGCGAGGCCGAAAGGCGUAGUCGAUGGGAAACAGGUUAAUAUUCCUGUACUUGGUGUUACUGCGAAGGGGGGACGAAGAAGGCUAUGUUGGCCGGGCGACGGUUGUCCCGGUUUAAGCGUGUAGGCUGGUUUUCCAGGCAAAUCCGGAAAAUCAAGGCUGAGGCGUGAUGACGAGGCACUACGGUGCUGAAGCAACAAAUGCCCUGCUUCCAGGAAAAGCCUCUAAGCAUCAGGUAACAUCAAAUCGUACCCCAAACCGACACAGGUGGUCAGGUAGAGAAUACCAAGGCGCUUGAGAGAACUCGGGUGAAGGAACUAGGCAAAAUGGUGCCGUAACUUCGGGAGAAGGCACGCUGAUAUGUAGGUGAAGCGACUUGCUCGUGGAGCUGAAAUCAGUCGAAGAUACCAGCUGGCUGCAACUGUUUAUUAAAAACACAGCACUGUGCAAACACGAAAGUGGACGUAUACGGUGUGACGCCUGCCCGGUGCCGGAAGGUUAAUUGAUGGGGUCAGCGCAAGCGAAGCUCUUGAUCGAAGCCCCGGUAAACGGCGGCCGUAACUAUAACGGUCCUAAGGUAGCGAAAUUCCUUGUCGGGUAAGUUCCGACCUGCACGAAUGGCGUAAUGAUGGCCAGGCUGUCUCCACCCGAGACUCAGUGAAAUUGAACUCGCUGUGAAGAUGCAGUGUACCCGCGGCAAGACGGAAAGACCCCGUGAACCUUUACUAUAGCUUGACACUGAACAUUGAGCCUUGAUGUGUAGGAUAGGUGGGAGGCUUUGAAGUGUGGACGCCAGUCUGCAUGGAGCCGACCUUGAAAUACCACCCUUUAAUGUUUGAUGUUCUAACGUUGACCCGUAAUCCGGGUUGCGGACAGUGUCUGGUGGGUAGUUUGACUGGGGCGGUCUCCUCCUAAAGAGUAACGGAGGAGCACGAAGGUUGGCUAAUCCUGGUCGGACAUCAGGAGGUUAGUGCAAUGGCAUAAGCCAGCUUGACUGCGAGCGUGACGGCGCGAGCAGGUGCGAAAGCAGGUCAUAGUGAUCCGGUGGUUCUGAAUGGAAGGGCCAUCGCUCAACGGAUAAAAGGUACUCCGGGGAUAACAGGCUGAUACCGCCCAAGAGUUCAUAUCGACGGCGGUGUUUGGCACCUCGAUGUCGGCUCAUCACAUCCUGGGGCUGAAGUAGGUCCCAAGGGUAUGGCUGUUCGCCAUUUAAAGUGGUACGCGAGCUGGGUUUAGAACGUCGUGAGACAGUUCGGUCCCUAUCUGCCGUGGGCGCUGGAGAACUGAGGGGGGCUGCUCCUAGUACGAGAGGACCGGAGUGGACGCAUCACUGGUGUUCGGGUUGUCAUGCCAAUGGCACUGCCCGGUAGCUAAAUGCGGAAGAGAUAAGUGCUGAAAGCAUCUAAGCACGAAACUUGCCCCGAGAUGAGUUCUCCCUGACCCUUUAAGGGUCCUGAAGGAACGUUGAAGACGACGACGUUGAUAGGCCGGGUGUGUAAGCGCAGCGAUGCGUUGAGCUAACCGGUACUAAUGAACCGUGAGGCUUAACCUUACAACGCCGAAG